AAAUAUUACAGAAAUUUUAUUUAUAUCACAACUGAACAAAAGUCCCACUUAUUUAUUUUUAACUUGUUACACACACACACACACACACACACACACACACACUUUACAUAUAUAUCUCACAAAGCUCUAGGGACGGGGCGGUGAGAGCCCUCAAGGUUGGGGUUCAACCUUUUUUUAUACUAUACAUAUAUAUAUAUGUAAAAAGUAGGUGGAACGGGUAGUUUGGAGCUUAAUUAAGUUGAGAUGCAGUGUCGUAUGCAGCUCCAGCCUUCCAAUCCAUAGGAAUGGCACGGGUUAAUUGUACCGAAUUAACUUCAUACGGGAUGGCAUAAUAAAUUCUAACGCGAAGAGAUCCGAUGGGUGGAUUUGAAAUGUCGAAUACCGUUCCAUACGCCCUACGCAUUGGCCUCCAUUUCUGGCUAUUCUCCUUUGUUCAUUAGCAGAAAUAGUACAAUGUCAGUGAUCAUUGAAAAGAAUAUUUAGUUGUGCUUAAAAAUUACUUUUUUUAGAAAUUACGUCUUCUGCUAGUCAAACAAGUAAUUUCGGAAACGUGUUUGACAAAAUAAGUAACUUAAAGGUAAGCCCCUAAUAGGUUUAGAUGAAAAUCAGAUUAUUAGUAGAUUUUUGAUAAAAAUUGAUGCAAUAUGUAGUUAAAAAGUUUUAGGUUCCAUGAAAUAUGUGAUUAAAAUUAAUUGUUAUUUUUUUACUAAGGUUUUAAUCUAAUUUUUCGGUUGAAUCAAGCAGGGACUAAGUUUGACCUACUUUUUAAUCUUUAAAUAACUUAUGGUACUUUAGUACUAAUGAAAUUCUGUAUGCUUACUUUUUAGCUUGUAAUAUUUGAGAAAAGUAUAUUGCUUUGGUUGAAUGGAAAUGUAAUAGUGACCUAUUUUGAAGAAUUGAAAUUUAGUGGUCUACUUCAAAUUGAGACUUCUAAGUUGAAGAAGCAAAUAAAAAAAUAAAAAAUAAAAAAGAACUUCUAAUUUGAAGAAGAAAAAAAAAGAACGUUUUUAGAAAGUAAAUAGAAAAUGUUUGUCUAAAAGGUAAGUUUCUAAACAAAAUAUUUCAAAACAAAAGUAAUUUCUAUCAAGUUCAAACAUAUUUAUAAGAAGAUUAAUGUUAUACAUAAUGAAAAUUAUUGAUAGUCAUCCUACAUGACAUACGCAUGAUAUCACUUAUAAGAAAAAUACCUUUAACGAACUUUUAAACUUUGGAAAACACGAUGGCAUAAAAACUUCAUGCUCAUGACGUAGAAAAAGGAAGAGUUUUGUUAGAGGAUAUACCAGUCCGAUGUCUAUACCAGUGAUAUCAGACAUUCCAUCUUUGUAUAUAGGGGCCAGGGCCAAGUAGGAAGGGUAAUUGCUAUUCUCAUGGAUUCUUAGCUCAAGGUUGCGAUUAUAACUACAUGGAACUCUUCUGUAUUCAAUGUCAACUACACCAUAAGCAAGUAGUUGUGGAGCCAUAUUGGGUCGAGCCAUUUUUUCGUAGCCACGCUUGCUCAUUAUGAAGUCUGUUCUGUCUCCCUCGCCAUAAUCCGUUACCACGACCUUUGCUCCCUCCCUGCUGCAGUAUUUUGGGAUUUUGCACUUUACCUAAUCGAGUCAUUGAAUGUUAGGCAUCAGCUUAUGGGAGAAAAUUGUGAUACUAAUAGCUCCAAACAUGGUCCCCAAGAGAUUCUAUAAAGCACGAACUUCUUUUUCAUUUCAUUUUUUUUUAAAUUUAUUUAAAGAAGAAAUUGCCUUACCAGAUAGCAAGCUCCACAACCACUUCCACCACUGUAAAGCCUAGAGACACCCGCGACUUCACCAUUGUUGACGGUCUUUCCAAACUCUCCAAACCCACAGGCUCCGGCUGGUAAAAUUAUGAGAAGCUCAUUUGAAUUAGUUAUCAUCACACUGAAUAAUCCAAACUACUAUAUUACUAUCUACUAUGCUAGUGGUAUUAUUAAUAUUAUGAUUCCGUACUGUUGACUGAGUCAAAAUAUCUUGAAUAAGUAAAAUAUUUGGUAAAAAAAAUUGAAAAUCACUUAACUCUUUUGUACACAAAAUUUAGAAAUGGGUGAUGGCGAUUGCGAUAGCGAUGGGGGUGGGUGAUGGUCAUUUUUGUAGUCAUGUGGGCUUGAUAGUAGUACAAAUCUGGUGGCAAGUUGAGAUAGUAUUGAUCUAGUGGUGACCGAGGGUGGUUAUCGUGAGAUGGCUGGAAGUGAAAAUUUGAUGGUGACAUUGUAGAUUGUUGUCAAUGGUUGUAAUGGUGGUGGUGGAAAUAGGCAGCCCCAACGACAACGUUGAUAAUCACCACAGUGAUGAAAACAUGCAGCGGAAUAGACAUAAAAUUGUGUUACAAAAAGUGUAGCACAUAUUUUACACAAAAAAUAAUAAUAAAAUAAAUUAAAAAAGUAAAAUAGUUGUGCAAAAAAAUAAAAUAUCAUAAAGAAGAGGGGAAAGGGAAAACGAGAGCACCACAUACUUGCAGUUCCUAGGCCUUCGGGACUACCGUAAUAGCUUGCUCUCGAUUUUUGAAAUCCUUGGCCAUAACAAGUUGCUGCCAACAGCAAUAUCAUAGGAAAAAAGAAGAAAUAAGAACCCAUUUUUCAGACAGCUCCAGUUCUUGAAGGGGACGAGGGAUACACAAAAGCUGGAUUUUAGAUGCCGUAUUUAUAGCAGAACGGGAGCACGCACUCAGAAUUAAUGAUUUUAAUAUCUACGAUUUUUCUCCCACUAUGGACUAAUGGUGUAAUGGAAAGCUAAAAACUACCGACAUUGAAAAUUGACUUCUUAAGACUAUAUCGUUACUGCUAAGGGUGAAACUUACAUCUUCACGCAUACGUACAACAUUUAACGGCUUGAAUCAUUCCUCUUAACAGUAUAAAUAUUUUCCAAUGGAACCUCAAAAUUAUGUAAUUUACUUAUUAGAACCUAAGAAGCUCAAAUGUGGAAUUUUAUCGGUUAAAAGCUCAAAUCAGCAAUCCAAUUUCAAAUUAAUAGUAAAAAAUAAGCUACGAUUUUUUGGGAACUUGCAACAUAUUACAGUAGUUUACACCUGAACAAGAGGAAAUUGCAAAGGAAGUGGUGCCAUAAGGGGCGGGGAAAAUGAACGUCCCUGCAAUAUUUUUAUUUUUUAAAAAUACAUGUAAUACACAUAAUAUUUGUAUAUCGUCUUUUCAUAAUUUUUUCACCCCGAAAGUGAUAAUCCAACUCCACCACUGGAAAAGAACAACGUCAUAGAAUGAAGAGCUUGUGUCUUUAACAUUCUUUUUUUAAAUUUGGUUGUGUUUAAAUUAUAAAUUAAGAAGCAGGUUUCUCGAAAUGUGUGAAUAAAAACUAAGCGAUAAGUAGUAGAUUCAUAGAGUAUAUGGAUAAUAAGUGUUUGAUAAGUUUAAAGUAUAAUUUAAACUUGUGCUAAACAUGCACAAUUUAUGAUGAAACAUAAAAUUCUUCCUAUGUUGAAACUUUAACCAAGACGUAACUCUAAUUUUUGCUAAAAUGUUUCUCACAACCCCCAUACAUAAUUAUUAGCAUGAAAUUACGAUAGCAACUACAAACAAAAUGCAACUGUAUUUUAGCAAUAAGUACGACUGCUUAAGGACCUCGUUCAUAAUUUAUUAAUCCCACUUAGUUCAUGUCAAUAUUUUUUUCUACCUUCUUACCCUUCAAAUACGUAAAUGUACAGUAUGUACAAGGUAACUAUGAUUAUACUUUUUUUUUUUUAACUAUAUGAAUUUUAUACAUUUUUGACAAAAAGAUCAUCUGCUUUUAAAUUUUCAGUUAAAUCAAUUAUUAUUUUAAUUUAGAUGAAUCUACAUGACCUGAUAGAUAUUCCAAAUAAUAAACACUAUUACCACCUUACAGAAAGCAUUAAAGUGGAACCUUCAAUUUCUACUCCAUGAUUAUCUUCUUCCAAAAAUAUCAAAAAAAUAUCUAUUCCAUAAGUGCACAUGGAACUAUUUAAUUCCAUGUGUAGAAUGCUUAUUUGGUAUCAAUUCGAUCAAUUUGUAUUAGAAUUGAACUUAACUAUGUAGACCCUUAAUCAAAAAAUGGUCAUUGAACUCACUAGACUAAAAUAUUAUCAUACAAACUAACAUACUUAAAAAAAGUAAAUAGACAUUUAUUCUAUUCCCUAAUAGUUUUAGAUUUGAAUGGAAUAUGGUCACUCGGAGAUAGAAUUCCAUCUCCGCAUUAAUGAAUUCCAUCUCCGCGUUAAUCCAAGUCUGAAAUGAAUAAUCAUAUGAUCAUUUUUCCGCAUAUAAAAUAUAUGAGUAGAGUAGGAAAUUUAUUAUUUGGCCACCACGCCCCAGCUGCCAUCACAAUAUAUAUAACCUUGCUACAUAUACACUAUGACGGCGUAACUUUUGUUUACACUUUGUCACGUGACAUUAUCAUAUUAAACAAUUUAAAUUUCAAACAGUUUUGUUCAUCCAAUUGAUAUUUGGCAACAAUAUAAGUGUUAACCAACAUGUUGGUUGGAGUUUUUCAUUUCUAAGGUGGCAGUCUCAUUUGGAGAAGAAGAGACCAUGAAGAGAAGCGCUCCGAUGAGUAUAGUCGAUUGGUGUGUUGGAAAUAACAUGGAUCUCUUCGGAACAGGUGGUGUCGUUGGAGUUUGGGUGAUGGUAUUUUGGAAAUGAUAUGGAGGUUCACUGGUUUGGCAAUGGUUUCAAUUUUAAUAAGGCCUAGCACAAAACAUCCCUAUGCUGGACACUUCUUGCGGAAAACGUCCCUACUUUUGACACUUCUUGCGUAAAACGUCCAUACAUUUCAAUUUUUUUUUGCAUUUUCAUCCUUAUUAUCACGUUCCAUCGCGAAAAACGUCAUUUUCAUCAAUUUGAAAUGUAAGGACGUUUUGCACGCUACAUAUCAAACGUAGGGACAUUUUAUACUAUUAUGCCUUUUAUUAAUUAUUUGGACUUACUUGCACUUUUUAAAACAUUUAUGAAUAAAAUUGUAAUUUAUUCUUGAUUUUUCUUUUCUUUUUCUUUUUUCUUUUGGGUUCUAAAAGGGACAUUUUUAGCAAUGAAACGUUGAAAUAAGGACGAAAAUGUAAAAAAAAUGAAACGUAGGGAUAUUUUCCGCAAAAGUGUCAAACUUAGGGACGUUUUGUGCUAUUAGCCCAUAUUCCAAAUAAUAAACACUAUUACCACCAUACAGAAAGCAUUAAAGUGAAACCUUCCAUUUCUACCCUAUAAUUAUUUUCUUCCAAAAAUAUCUAAAGAAUAUCUAUUCCAUGAGUGUACAUGGAACUAUUUAAUUCCAUAUGUAGAAUGCUUAUUUGGUAUCAAUUCGAUCUAUUUGUAUUAGAAUUGAACUUAACUAUGUAGACCCUUAAUCAAAAAAUGGUUAUUGAACUUGUCACUAGAGUAAAAUAUUAUCAUACAAACUAACAUACUUAAAAAAGUAAAUAGACAUUUAUUCUAUUCCCUAGUAGUUUUAGAUUUGAAUGGAAUAUUGUCACUCAGAGAUAGAAUUCCAUCUCCGCAUUAAUCCAAGUCUGAAAUGAAUAAUCAUAUGAUCAUUUUUCCGCAUAUAAAAUAUAUGUGUAGAGUAGGAAAUUUAUUAUUUGGCCACCACGCCCCAGCUGCCGUCACAAUAUAUAUAAUCUUGCUACAUAUACACUAUGACGGCGUAACUUUUGUUUACACUUUGUCACGUGACAUUAUCAUAUUGAACAAUUUAAAUUUCAAACAGUUUUGUUCAUCCAAUUGGCAUUUGACAACAAUAUAAGUGUCAACCAACAUGUUGGUCGGAGUUUUUUCAUUUCUAAGGUGUUAGUCCAAUUUGGAGAAGAAGAGACCAUGAAGAAAAGCGUCCUGGUGAGUAUAGUCGAUGGGUGUGUUGGAAAUGACAUGGAUCUCUCCGGAACAGGUGGUGCCAUUGGAGUUUGGGUGAUGGUAUUUUGGAAAUGAUAUGGAGGUUCACCAGUGUGGCAAUGGUUUCAAUUUUAAUAAGGCCUAGCAAAAAAAAUCCCUACGCUUGACACUUCUUAUGGAAAACGUCCCUAUUUUUGACACUUCUUGAGUAAAACGUCCAUACUUUUCAAUUUUUUUUUGCAUUUUCAUCCUUAUUAUCAUGUUUCAUUGCGAAAAGCAUUAUUUUCAUCAAUUUGAAAUGUAAGGACGUUUUGCACGCUACAUAUCAAACGUAGGGACGUUUUAUACUAUUAUGCCUUUUAAUAAUUAUUUGGACAUACUUGCACUUUUUAAAACAUUUACGAAUAAAAUUGUAAUUUAUUCUUGAUUUUUCUUUUCUUUUUCUGUUUUUUUUUGGGUUUUAAAAGGGACAUUUUUAGUAAUGAAACGUUGAAAUAAGGACGAAAAUGUAAAAAAAUGAAACGUAGGGACAUUUUCCGCAAUAAGUAUCAAACUUAGGGACGUUUUGUGCUAUUAACCCAUAUUCCAAAUAAUAAACACUAUUACCACCAUACAGAAAGCAUUAAAAUGAAACCUUCCAUUUCUACUCUAUAAUUAUUGUCUUCCAAAAAUAUCUAAAGAAUAUCUAUUCCAUGAGUGCACAUGGAACUAUUUAAUUCCAUAUGUAGAAUGCUUAUUUGGUAACAAUUCGGUCUAUUUGUAUUAGAAUUGAACUUAACUAUGUAGACCCUUAAUCAAAAAAUGGUUAUUGAACUUGUCAUUGGACUGAAAUAUUAUCAUACAAACUAACAUACUUAAAAAAGUAAAUAGACAUUUAUUCUAUUCCCUAGUAGUUUUAGAUUUGAAUGGAAUAUUGUCACUCGGAGAUAGAAUUCCAUCUCCGCAUUAAUCCAAGUCUGAAAUGAAUAAUCAUAUGAUCAUUUUUCUGCAUAUAAAAUAUAUGAGUAGAGUAGGAAAUUUAUUAUUUGGCCACCACGCCCCAGCUGCCAUCACAAUAUAUAUAACCUUGUUACAUAUACAUUAUGGUGGCAUAACUUUUGUUUACACUUUGUCACGUGACAUUAUCCUAUUAAACAAUUUAAAUUUCAAAUAUUUUUUUCAUCUAAUUGACAUUUGACAACAAUAUAAGAGUCAACCAACAUGUCAAAAAUAAGUGUACAAAUAACAAAGUUCAUAUAACUAUUUCUCUUGUAGAGAAACACGGUGUUUUGGUCAAUGUUUGAUGCAAAGCCAGACCUGAGGAGAGGCUCAAGAGGCCAUUUCUUCAAGCCCAGCUCUUUAGGGGGCCCAAAAUUAGAUUUUUUUUAAAAUCCCAAAAUUAGAUUUUUUAAAUUUAUUUUUUUUUUAAAUACAACUUCUGUUGGAGAAUCAGCACUUGGCCUCUAAAAUCAAUCCAAACAGGGUCUUAAACGUGCAUGAGCUUAAUUUUAGUACUUUAUAUUGUUUGAUUAAUUAAGUUCUAAUGACCCUUUUUAGGGGAGCUGAGGGGUAGUCCUUCAACUUGCAUUCACUUGAAUAGCAAUUCAAAAAAUGCAUUGAAAAUGCUCUACGAGGUUGCACAUAUGUUCAGAUUUUGAAUAAAAAUAAUAGAAUAUACAAAGUUUAUCCAAUUCCUCAAUCUAAAUCAUCCAUCAAAAAAUCUGUUAUUCAAUAUUCGAUGACUAGAGAAUACUCAAUUUUUUUAACUAUAUGAAUUUUAUACAUUUUGACAAUUUUUUUAACUAUAUGAAUUUUAUACAUUCAAUAUCCAUUUUUAUUUUUUUUUACAACUUUAAGCGAAUUUUUUUUUACAUAUAUUUAUGGAAUUCACACUUUUGCUCUUGAAUUAACCCCCUCAAUAAAUUAUUAUUUAAAUGGUUCGUAAACAUUUUGAUUGAUAUUAUUUUUUGGUCAUCCAAAUGGUACUAUAUACAUUUUACGUACAUAUAUAAAAAUAAUGUUUUUAUUUAUUAACAAAUGAAUAUAUUUAUUUUUGGAGAAAUGAGUUUUCAUUAUCAUUUCAUUUUUUUAUCCUGAAGUGAUUCUAAUCUUAAUAUGUUAGAUUGUGCUUCAAAAUUACAUAAUAUAUCAAAUAUAAUUUUUUAAAUUAAUUUUUAUAAAGUAAUAUAUUUUUAUGAUUUUUUUUUUUAGUAAAGUAAUAAUGGAGGCUCAUACUCGAGCCUCCAUAAUUGUUUUGGAGGCUCAAGGACGGAGGCUCAUGUCUUGAGCUCCAUUAUUAUAAUAAUGGAGGCAUCAGCAUGAUGAUGCCUCUAUAAUUGUUAUGAAGGCUCAUGCUUGAGCCUCCAUAACAUAUUAUAUUAUAUUAUAAAAUUAAUAAAAAUUUAAUUAUUUUUUAUUUUUUAGUACUAUUAUAUUUCACCUUUCAAAAAAAAAAAAUCAUUAAAACAUAUUACUUUAUUAAAAUUAAUUUUAAAAAUUAUAUUUGAUAGAUUAUGUAAUUUUGAAGCACAAUAUAAUAUAUUAAGAUUAGAAUUAUUUCAUGAUAAAAAUAAAAUGAUAAUAAAAACUCAUUUUUUGAAAAAUAAAUAUAUUCAUUUGUUAACAUGUUUGGUCUUUAUUUUUUUAAAUUUAUUUUUCUUCAAACAUAUUUUCAAUCAUAUAUUUAUGGAAUUCACACUUUUGCUCUUGAAUUAACCCCCUCAAUAAAUUAUUAUUUAAAUGGUUCGUAUACAUUUUGAUUGAUAUUAUUUUUUGAUCAUCCAAAUGGUUACUAUAUACCUUUUACGCACAUAUAUAAAAAUAAUAUUUUUUAUUUAAUCUUACUUAUGUGCUCAAAAAUAAACUUUCUAAAGAUACAUGGUUGAUAGCGUGAGAAAAUGGUGAAAGAGAUAGAGUGGAGAAAUAGAGAAGCAUGGUUGUAGCGUGUAAAAAUGGAGAAAGAGUAAACAUCCAUUAUUUUAUGUAUUUUUAUUUUAAGAAUAUUAAAAAAAUUAAGUUUAUUAAAUGAAAUUAAAUUAUUGUACUGAGAGCUAAUGAAGGAAAAAGAAAGUAAAAAAAAGAACUCCCAUGGAGGCCUCCAGAAUUACGGAGGCUCAACAACAUGAGGCUUCUUUGAAACUCCAGAAUUACGGAAGCUCAUGCUUGAACCUCCAUAGCAUUACUUUAUUAAAAAAAAUCAUAAAAACAUAUUACUUUAUAAAAAUUAAUUUUAAAAAUUAUACUUGAUAUAUUAUGUAAUUUUGAAGCACAAUCUAACAUAUUAAGAUUAUAAUCAUUUCACAAUAAAAAUGAAAUGGUAAUAAAAACUUAUUUUUCAAAAAUUAAAUAUAUUCAUUUGUUAACAUAUUUGGUCUUCAUUUUUUAAAAUUUAUUUUUCUUCAAACAUAUUUUCAAUCAUAUAUUUAUGGAAUUCACACUUUCGCUCUUGAAUUAGUGUGGAGAAAUAGAGAGGCAUGACUAUAGCGUGAAAAAAUGGAGAAAGAGUAAAAAGGGCUCUAUGACAUAAUCCUCCACGCCGCAUAAAUUGAGGAAAAGCAACAAAGUCAUUGUAUCAAACACGUAAGAUAAACGACGUCGUUGCUUUCUCUCAAUAAAAAAAAAGUUACAGUGAGACAAAAUGAAAGAAUCUAUUAUUCUUUUUACAAUAGUGAAACAUUGCCAUUUUUAUAUAGUAGUGAAAUAUAUGAGUAGAGUAGGAAAUUUAUUAUUUGGUCACCACACCCCAGCUGCCAUCACAAUAUGUAUAACCUUGCUACAUAUAUACUACGGCAGCGCAACUUUUGUUUACUCUUUAUCACGUGACAUUAUUCUAUUGAACAAUUUAAGUUUCAAACAGUUUUUUUUAUCUAAUUGACAUUUGAAAAUAAUAUAAGUGUCAAUCAACAUGUCAAAAAUCAGUGCACAAAUAGCAAAGUUCAUAUAACUAUUCAUCUUGUAGAGAAACACGAUGUUUUGGUCAAUGUUGGAUGCAAAGCCGGACCUGGGGAGAGGCUCAAGUGGCCAUCGCCUCAAGUCCAGCUCUUUAGGGGGCCCAAAAUUAGAAUUUUUUUUUUAAAUCCCACUAAUUACAAUCAAAACUUCCAAUAAUUGUCCUGCUAAAUCAAAACCUAGACCUCCCCCUAAAUUUGUAACUUCUCCAAAAUCCAACCCAUUUAUAUUCAUUCACUCUUGCUCCAAACAAUGAGGCUUCUUCAACAAUAAUAUCGUGAAUCUGAUAAUAAUAUUGUAUACAUUUUGAAGUUAAAUUGCUUGAUCUAUUUUAUUGAUAUUUUUAAUGUAUAUGAUUGCAACGAAAAUUAAUUGGUUGUUACUAUAUCUAGAUUUUUAUUAGUUUCCGAUUACUUUUAUAGAUGCCAUAAUUUUUUGAUUAAUCAAUUUUUAUGAAAUAAAGUUUUUUCACAGAUUUCUAUUAGUUUUUUUGCAUUGUGUGCUUGCGUUCUUUAUUAUUUUUAUUAUUUUUGUUUGCGCAUUUGGAAAACUCUAUUUUUAUGAUCAUGCAAGAAACAAAGAGCCAUCAAGGGUUGAGAAUUUGGGAAAUUAUACAUUGUUUUGUUUUUCAUACAAGUGUUUUCAAUAAUAUAUUUGUUGCGGGAUUAUUAGCUUUGCUUUAUUGGAUUUGCAUUGCUUUGUUAUUUGGUUUCUGUUUUGAUGCUGAGUGUGUGUAGCGAUUUUUGGGUACUGCAAGUUUUGGAUUCGAAAUAUUCAUUUCGUUCUGUAACAAAAGUGAGGAUAUGCAUCAAUAUUAGUGCCAAUUUGAGUGCACUCUACACCCCUUUCUUGUGUCAAAAUUUUCACUUGCUUUUUGAACAUGUUGCACACAUUUUAGGUGCUAUUCUUGUGUCAAAAUUUUCACUUGCUUUCUAAACAUGUUGCACACAUUUUAGGUGCUAUUUGAGUGAACUUUGCACCCCUUUCUUGUGUCAAAAUGGGCCCUUUCACUCUCCACGUUGACCAUCUAAGUAUCAUAUAUAUACAUAUAUAUAGAAGAAACAUCUACUAGAAGAUUGUAUAGUUUUUGCAAGUUGAAGGUUGCGAGGUUACUUGCACAAAUUUAUAUUAAGAGCAUAAUUUUUAGAUUAUACAAUCAAGAUAUUGUGUCUUGUUAAUAUUAGUGAAAUUUAAAUUGCAACAAUUUUAUAAGUAUAAGUUGGGAAGGUGAUAAAUGGUUUAACACUAUUCUUUGUUAAACACCUCCAAUUAGUUUUUAAACCAUUUUUAAUGAGAUCAAAGUAAUUUCCAAUUUUGUAUAGGGACUGUCAUUAACAUUUUGCCAAUACCAAAAUAUUUUUCGCUAUAUUUGGCUUAUGGUCAGAUCUAAAUUUUUUCAUCUAAACACACACACAAUUAAUCCAUCAAAGUGCACCAGGAUGGAAAGUAAAUAAUGCUGAGAAUAAAUAUAUAAUUUAAACUCUUUAUACAAUAUCUCAAGUCCUAAUGAGUGAUAUAUUAUAACGUGGUUUGUUGAUUGUCAAUUUGACUGAAUGAUUUUUAUCAAUGUUAGAGAGAAAUUUAGAAAUUAAAAAUAAUAUAGAUAAUGUAUCAUUAUAUCGUCUAGAUUUUUGCAAAGAUAAUUCAAACUAGAAGUUUGGAGGAUAAUUCAUUUAAAUGCAUUCACUGAUUAAAGAUAAUAUCAAUAUCUCACACAUUAAUUUUAAAUGUUCCAACUUGAAUUGACAUCCCCAUGAGGACAAUCCAUUAACAUUUGACUGAUGUUUGAAGCAUGAAUAUGUUCGAUUUUAAGAAAGAUUUCAAAAGGAAAAGAAGCAUAUGAGGAAGAUGGUCCCAUUUUGGAAACGUAUAUCUUUGGAGAAUAUAUAAACAUAACUAAUUAUAAAACUCCAUAAGAGGUUUAAGUAUUUGAAAUAUUGAAAGUAGAGAUAUCUCAUUAAGUUAUGUUAUAAUGGAAAAGAAAUAGAAUCGAAAGAAAAAGUUUUCGACAACACUUUUGUACAUAAUGUACUGCUUCAUAUUAUAAAAGAUGAGGAUGUCAAAAUAAAUUCGAAAAAUCAUAUAAAAAAAAAACAAAAAAAAAACUGGCCAAAUAAAAGGACGCAAUCCUAAUAAAAUUAAACUUAUUAAAAAAACCUAAAGUUUCUACAUCUACCGUCCAAGCACCUAAAUUGACUUAUCAAAAAUGAAAAUAGAAACAAUAAAAUCAUAAUAUAUAAUGUACAACUCCUAGCAUAAUGAAUUUCGCAAAGACUUAUAUAUAAAUAGAUAAAUUAAUCUGUGAUCGAUACAAUCACAAAUCUCUGUCUUGUUAGCCCGAUAAUGCAUGAAAUCUAAUAUGCAUAUAAUAAAUGUGAUUGUACAACUUAUUUUGUAUGUUUUAAUACUACUCUUGAAGGAUUCUAUACCUGAAGUAUAAAUUCAAGUUAUAUUAGCAUGAGUGGGAGUAAAUAUGCAUUGUUCUAUUUUUCCAUUAAUCAUGGUUUUGUCCCGUUGGUUUUUCUGACAAAGUUUUUAAUGAGGUAACUUUUGUAGCAUACUCAAAAGAAUAAUGUACUCUUUUUCCAUCAUUAGGAUUUUUUCCACAUGAUUUUUCCUAAUAAAAUUUGAAAUUUUGAAAUUUUUAUUUCAAACAAUUUAUUACUAUUAACGGGAACUGUUGUUUCUUCUGACCAUAUAUAGCGGAAAAGAGAUAUAUAUGCAAAAGAAAUUAAAAUAUCAACUAACCAGAUAAAAUGUCUCACUGAUUAAAAGUGAUAGUUUCAUAGCUUUUACUGUUAAACAAACUCAAAGUGAUAAUAUAUUAAUCCUAAAUUUAUAAGUCUUAACAUUUAGUGGACCAAUAAGCAUCGGACUAUGUCAUGGUGCAUUGUUAUACAAUUUAAACAUUGGACAAGGUGACAGUCUACCUAGAAAUUUCUCUUGCCCUGAUCUGUAACAUUUGUUAUUGUCGCUCCAACAUUUUGGCUUACUUCAAUUUCACACUCAAUAUGACGCCUUCACGAACUACGCAGGACAGAUAUUUCGCUUGGCUUUUAGCACCUUGAAUUGCAUUUGUAUUGGAAUGAUGUGAUUUUUGAAUCUCGAUUUCAAAUGCCUACACCUUUUAAUUUAUAUGGAGAAUUGGUUGCAAAUAGAAGGUUGUAGAAUUAUGUUAUUUUGACUAAAUUGAUUUGUCCAGUAUUGGCACUACCCUUUUCAACUAUGACUGUAGGGCAAACAUUUUCAACAACGAAAAAUGUGAAGAUGGAAAUUUGUAUCAAAAUGGAUGAUGAUUUUCUUACUGAUUGUAUGACAUUCUACAUGGAACGAAAGUCUACUAUGAAUUUAGAUGUAUGUUUUAUUAUUGAUUAAUUAUAUACUUGUCGGGCACAACUUGAGGGUAAAGGUUAUAUUAUCAUUUUUUUUUGUUAUAAAUGAAUUUUAUUCGUACAUUAACUUUUAAAAAAAUAAUUGCCCCAUGCAACGUAAAUUCCUGACUUCGCCUGGAAAGCAUGUAAUAUUGAAAUUGACCUAACAUCUGAUUUGAUUUGGGCCCAUCUUUGUUAAAACUUAGUAGUAAUAAACAAUUAAAAAGAUGAAAGUCGAGAAGUUUUAUUCAUAUCAAUACUAAACACGAGUUACAAAUGAAGUGAAGAGAGUCCUUCACCGAGCAUUAUCCAAAGCACUGCUACAAACAUAUCAAGUAAACACUAGAAAUAUUAAGUAGUCAAGUUACACAUUCGUGCUUGGAGCUUAAUUAGUUAAGCUGAAAAGCAGUGUCAUAAGCAAUUCCAGCCUUCCAAUCACUGGGAAUGGCACUGGUUAAUUGCACCCACUUCAUUUCCGCGUUGCCCUCGGCCACCACCUGAAGUCUAAAGUUGAGAGGCCUCGGUGGUGGGUUCUGAUGGUCGAAUACUGUUCCAAAGACUCUUCGCAUUGGCCUCCAUUCUUUGCGAUCCUCCUGCCAACAUCAAUGACAAAGUUACUUUUUUAGAAAGUAAACAUAUAUUUAAAAAUCAUGUUUCAAAAAGUAAAAAAGAAAAGUUUAUUUGACUUUAAAGUAUAUACCUGUCAUAUUUCAACCGCGAUGAUAUCAUACGUUCCCUCUUUAUACAAUGGCACUACGGCCAAGUACUGAGGGUAUUUGCUAUGCUCAUGGACUUUUAGAAAGAGAUUAUAACCAUAACAACAUGGAAUUCUUUUGAAUUCGAUGUCAACUACGCCCUAUGAAAAUAGUUCUGCAGCCAUGUUGGAUCGAGCCAAUUUUGCGUACGCUUGUGUACUCAAUAUGAAGUCUGUACGGUCUCCCUCGCCAUAAUCCGUUACCACUACCUUCGCUCCUUCCUCGCUCAGUGUGUUGGGAUUCUGUACCUUACCUAAUUCAUUUAGUCAUUGAAGCAUCAGCUUAGAAGAGAAAAUAAGCAUAAGCUAAAAAAUAAAUAAAUAAUUUAGUUAUAGAUUUUUUGUCCAUUGUCAAAAAAUGGCGUACCUGAUAGCAAGCACCGCAACCAGUUCCAUUCCUGUAAAGCCUAGAGACUCCAGUGAUUUCACCAUUGUUGACAAACGUCCCAUAUUCACCAAACCCACAAGCUCCAACUAGUAAAAUUAUGAAAAAAACUUUUUGAAUUAGCUACAGACUACAGUAUUGUUGAGAAAAAAAACUGAGUUAUGGGCCGACUUUGGCACGAGUUUUGAGUGGACCCAGUUGUUCAAUUUGGAAGAUGAAAGUUGAUUUGUGUUCUCCUCCGUGAGUACAUCAAAAUCAUUUACUUACUUACCAAAGAUGAUGCUCGGUUGAAUGAGAAAUUGAGGCUCAAUAUGUGCCACUCAAAAGGGAGUUUAUAUGGAAAAAAUGAAUUUGUCCCACAUAGAAAAAAGAUGAGAAACUCCAAAGGUCAUUGCCAUUAAUGGUAGCCUAGCCUAUAAAUAGUGGCUCAUUUUCCUCAUUUCAACACAACAAAGUAAAAGCUUUCAAGUUUAGAAUACACAAGAAAUUCAUUUGUUGUGUAUUCUGAGAAACAGACGCUCGUUUUAAACCUCAAGCACGGACAGUGAGGGAGCGAAUCUGUUUUAAGGAAACUAUGUAUAACACAGGCCUCGGUUUGAAAUUUCAUUUCCUGCAAUUUCAAUUAUUCGUUCUGUUAUUUAUUGCAGUAAAUUCAAUAGUUGAUUUGUUGUUCAUUCUGUUAUUAUCCAAUUAGUUGUACGACUGUAACUUGCUGUUAUAUAUCAUCUUACCGGACAAAAGGCAUAUACGGUAUUGAAAUCGAGAAUACUGAAUUCCUCAUUUUUCAUAAACUUACCGGAUUUCAGAAAAGCUUGGUCAGCCGAACUGGUGAAACUUAGGAUUUUCCCUACAAGCUUAAAACAGAUUUUCAGAAAGGAAAAAUUGGUUUCCUAUAUUGAUUAUUUCUAAACUGAUUAGUUUCUUAUAUUUGUUAUAUUGAGGAAACUAAUUUUUUGUUUGGUUCUUUCAGAAGACGAAAUGGCAACCGGUUCCACCAACAUAGAUUCCAACAUGGAUGUGUCCCAAACUGUAGGUACCCAAACUCAGGCUGUGGGUUCUACUAUGGGUGCAGGCCUAGUUCGGCUAUGGAUGCAACUAUGGCUGUACGGCCUAGCUCUGUUAUUGCUCAGACUGAAGUGCCAAGUCGUGUUGUGAGCCAACAUGUGGCUAAUGUUACGGUUAAUGUACUGGUUAACCAUGGGGAAAAGCCGGAGAAAUUCAACGGCUUGAAUUUCAAGAGGUGGCACCAGAAAAUGUUGUUUUAUCUGACCACCUUAAAUCUUGCGAGAUUCUUGACUGAAAGUGCUCCAAAACUCCAAGAGGGUGAGGUGGAUGUUCAAGCAAUCAGUGUUGUUGAUGCUUAGAACCACUCGAACUUCUUAUGCCGAAAUUACAUCAUGAACAGUUUGGCAGAUUCGCUAUACAACGUGUAUAGCACCAUAAAAACUACUAAGGAGUUGUGGGAGUCUUUGGACCGGAAAUAUAAGACUGAGGAUGCCGGGGCUAAGAAAUUUAUCGUCGGCCGAUUCUUGAACUAUAAGAUGGUGGACUCCAAAACUAUAAUCAGUCAAGUGUAAGAACUACAAAUGAUUCUUCACGAAAUUCAUGCCGAAGGGAUGAUUCUGCGUGAAACUUUCCAAGUGGCUGCAAUCAUUGAAAAAUUGCCUCCCGCGUGGAAAGAUUUCAAGAAUUAUCUGAAACACAAGUGAAAGGAAAUGAACGUUGAAGAACUGAUUGUUAGAUUUCAAAUUUAAGAAGACAACAAGAGUUUCGAAAAGAAAUGAUUCAGUCCUGGUACGGCUAAGGCCAAUAUUGUUGAACAUGGUCAAGGUAGUAAGAACUACAAAACUAAAGCUGGGACCAAAAGGGGGCAUUCCUAAGAAGAAAUUUCAAGGGAAGUGCUUCAACUGUGACAAAGUAGGUCACAAAUCUUCAGAGUGCAGAAUGCCAAAGAAGAAGAAAGAAGCAAAUGUGGUUGACUACAUGGCACAUGAUGUGUCGGAGAUGAAUCUCGCAGCAGUCAUUUCUGAAGUGAACAUGGUGGGUUCUAACCCAAAAGAAUGGUGGAUUGAUACCGGAGCUACGAGACAUGUGUGCUCUGAUAAAGAGUUAUUUACUACUUUUGAAGCAGUUGAGAAUGGAGAGAAGUUGUUCAUGAGAAAUUCAGCAACUUUUGAAAUCAAGGGCCAAGGAAAAGUGGUUCUGAAGAUGACUUCGGGAAAAGAGCUGACUCUCAACAACGUGCUGUAUGUGCCAAAAAUCCACAAGAACCUUGUGUCCUGGCGCUUUUGAAUAAGCAUGGUUUUCACAUUGUGUUUAAGUCAGACAAGGUCAUCUUGUCGAAAAGUGGAAUGUUUGUCGGAAAAGGUUAUGUUUCCGAUGGAAUGUUUAAGCUCAAUGUAAUGGUUGUUAAACCAAAAAUGAAUAAUAAAGUGAAUGCUUCUGUUUACUUGCUUGAGUCUUCCAAUGUGUGGCAUGGUAGACUAGGACACGUUAACUAUGAUACUUUACGUAGGCUAGUUAACUUGAAAUGCAUACCAGCAUUCCAUGUUGAUUCCAAACAUAAGUGUGAGACUUGUGUUGAAGCAAAAUUGGCUAGGUCGUCCUUUAAGUCAAUUGAACGAAAUACGAAAUCACUUGUUUAAUUCACAGUGAUAUAUGUGAUUUAAAAUUUGUACAAACAAGAGGUGGCAACAAGUAUUCCAUUACUUUUGUCGACGAUAGUACGAAAUACUGCUAUGUGUAUUUGCUAAAAAGCAAGGAUGAAGCGAUAGAGAAAUUUGUUCUCUAUAAGAAUGAAGUUGAAAAUCAACUUAACAAGAAAAUUAAGGUGCUAAGAAGCGAUCGAGGUGGUGAGUAUGAAGCACCGUUUGCUGAAUUCUAUGCACAACACGGAAUCAUACAUGAAACCACCGCACCGUAUUCAUCGCAACAAAAUGGUGUUGCUAAAAGGAAAAAUCGCACCUUAAAGGAGAUGAUGAAUGCGAUGCUAGUAAGUUCUGGAUUACCUCAGAACAUGUGGGGAGAUGCUGUGUUAUCAGCAAAUUACCUUUUGAAUAAGGUGCCCCGAAAGAAAAUGGAGAAGACACCUUAUAAGUUAUGGAAAGGAAGAACGCCUUCCUAUAAAUACUUACGAGUGUGGGAGUGUCUUGCUAAAGUGGUUGUCCCAACACCAAAGAAGGUGAAGAUAGGCCUGAAAACUGUAGACUGCAUAUUGAUUGGAUAUGCACAUAACAGUAGUGCUUAUCGAUUUCUCGUGUAUGAAUCUAAAAUCCAAGAUAUACACACAAACACGAUAAUGGAGUCGAGAAACGCUUCGUUCUUUGAACAUGUGUUUCCAUGCAGGUCAAAGAAGAGGCAAGUUCUUCUAAACAGACGUAUGAGACUAUGACUGAACAUAGUCAGGACCAAGAACCAGAAGGAGGUUGAGAUUGAAAUUAGACGUAGCAAAAGGGAAAGGACAGAAAAAUCUUAUGGUCCGGAUUUUCUGACCUAUAUGCUAGAAAGUGAACCUCAAAGCUAUUAAGAUGCUGUGAACUCCUCGGAAGGACUUCAAUGGAAAGAGGCCAUUAAAAGUGAAAUAGAUUCUAUCCUACAAAAAUCAUACAUGGGAGCUAGUGGAUCUUCCACCAGAAAGUAAACCACUAGGCAACAAGUGGAUUUUCAAACAAAAAAUGAAAGCAGAUGGAACUAUUGAAAAGUAUAAGGCCAAGUUGGUAAUAAAAGGUUACCGAAAACGGGAAGGCCUUGAUUACUUUGAUACAUAUUCUCCAGUAACGAGAAUAACAUCCAUUAGAAUGAUACUUGUGAUUGCUGCUUUGCGAAAUCUUGAAGUACAUCAAAUGGAUGUUAAGAUUGCCUUCUUGAACGGAGACUUAGAUGAAGAAAUCUAUAUAGAACAACCCGAAGGGUUUUGUCUCCAGGGCAGGAAAAGAAGGUGUGUAAAUUGGUGAAGUCAUUGUAUGGCUUGAAACAAGCACGAAAACAAUGGCAUGAUAAAUUUGACAGUGUCAUGAUGGAGAGUGGAUUUAAGAUCAACAAGUGUAAUAAAUAUGUUUACGUUAAAGACACUAAAAAUGGCUAUGUUAUUUUAUGUCUUUACGUUGAUGACAUGCUUAUUGUUGGCAGCAAUGAUAAGGUGAUCAAAUCCACUAAAACCAUGUUAAAUUCGAGAUUUAACAUGAAAGACACGGGUCUAGCUGAUGUUAUACUUGGAAUCAAAAUUUCAAGAACAUCGGAUGGUCUUGUUCUAAGCCAGUCACAUUAUGUGGACAAAAUCCUAGGAAAGUUUAGUAAGGAUGAUACUGAAAUGGCUAGAACCCCGAUAGAUACGAGUCAACAUCUAUCUAAGAACAAAGGUGAAAGUGCGUCUCAAGUAAAAUACUCGAGAAUUAUUGAAAGUCUGAUGUACUUGAUGAGUUGUACAAGACUAGACAUAGCCUACACAGUGAGCAAACUGAGUAGAUACACGAGUAAUCCAGGAGCUGAUCACUGGAAAGGAAUAGUAAGAGUACUAAGGUACUUGAGAUAUACUCAUAAUUUUGGACUGCACUAUAGCAGAUAUCCAGCGGUCAUUGAAGGAUAUAGUGAUGCUAAUUGGAUAUCCUAUGUAAAAGACUCAAAGUCCAUGAGUGGAUUUGUGUUCACAUUGGCAGGUACAGCUAUAUCAUGGAAAUCUUCUAAACAAACAGUGAUAGCCAAAUCCACUAUGGAAUCUGAGUUUCUAGCUCUAGAUAAAAGUGGUGAAGAGGCUGAGUGGCUACGCAACUUCUUAGAGGAUAUUCCAAGAUGGUCAAAGCCUAUGCCAACAAUUUGCAUAUAUUGUGAUAGUCAAUCGACAAUUGGAAGGGCACAGAGCAACAUGUAUAAUGGUAAGUCUAGACAUAUACGUCGUAGACAUAAUACCAUUAGGCAACUACUCUCAACUGGAGUUAUCACUAUUGAUUAUGUAAAGUCAAAGGAUAACAUUACGGAUCCGCUAACCAAAGGAUUAAAUAGAGAGUUAGUUGAGAAAUCAUCGAGAGGAAUGAGACUUAAGCCCUUGAAUGGAUAAGUUAAUACAAAGGAAAACCCAACCUAGUUGACUGGAGAUCCCAAGAUCUAGGUUCAAAGGGACAACCUUAUUGUAAAGACUUGAUAGAAUCACUGUGGGGGAUAUUACCUCCUACCCAUUCCUGUGAUGCGACAGUGAUGCCCGUAAAGAUGGAGGAUAAGCAAUAGGCUUUUAAUGAUUCUUAUGCGUCAAAAAUUGAGGCAAGUAAUGCUUGUUACUUGUAAUAAUAAAUCACCAAUGUGAGAGAGAAGUGGGGCCGCUUCUAAGGGAAUUGUGUGGGGCGCAAUUCUUGUGAACUCUCAUAGAACCGGGCAUAUGUUCAUGGCCAAAACGAACAUAAUAAUGAGAACUGAAAUGUGUUAGGAAGAAUCCUAUGUGAAGUGUAUCAUCGUUUACAUAAAUGGCAGAAUAGUUCAAGGACAUCGCGUCUACUGGUCAGCCAGUGAAGUAAAUAUGCUUUCACAAUGGAAGGUUCAAAGGAUAACAUCUACCUAUCCUAUGCAGGUUUCAACUAUUCAACUAUAUCACCAAGUCGUCAUGUGUCACAUGUAUGAGUCGCUCCCAAUUUUCAUUCAUGUGGGGGAUUGUUGAAAAAAAAAAUUGAGUUAUGGGCUGACUUUGGCACGAGUUUUGAGUGGGACCCGGUUGUUUAAUUUGGAAUAUGAAAGUUGAUUUGUGUUUUCCUCCGUGAGUACAUCGAAAUCAUAUACUUACUUGCCAAAGAUGAUGCUUGGGUGAAUGAGAAAUUGAGGCUUAAAGUGUGCCAUUCAAAAGGGAGUUUAUGUGGGAAAAAUGAAUUUGUCCCACAUAGGAAAAAGAUGAGAAACUCAAAAGGUUAUUGCCGUUAAUAGUAGCCUAACCUAUAAAUAGUGGCUCAUUUUCCUCAAUUUAACACACAAAAGCAAAAGCUUUCAAGUUUAGAAUACACAAGAAAUUCAUUUGCAUAGAGUUCUGUCUUUUCUGCAUUUCUAUCUUGGUGGUGGUGUAGUUCAGGCACUAGUUCAGUUCGCCGGAGUGGUUUCUGCGUUGCUCGGAAGCUACUAGUUUUACCGUUGUAUCCUGGGAAACGGACGCUCAUUUUAAACCUCAAGCACGGAUGGUGAGGGGGCAAAUCUAUUUUAAGGAAACUGUCUGUAACACAGGCCUCGGUUUGAAAUUUUAUUUCCUGCAAUUUCAAUUAUUCGUUCUGUUAUUUAUUGCAGUAAAUUCAAUAGUUGAUUUGUUGUUCAUUCUGUUAUUAUCCAAUUAGUUGUACGACUGUAAUUUGCUGUUAUAUAUCAUCUUACCGGACAAAAGGCAUAUACGGUAUUGAAAUUGAGAAUACUGAAUUUCUCAUUUUUCAUAAACUUACCGGAUUUCAGAAAAGUUUGGUCGAUCGAACUGGUAAAACUUGGGAUUUUCCCUACAAGUAUUACUAUCUAAUGCAUCAGCGGAAUAUUUGGUAAAUGGAGAGUAAAAUAAAUAAAAUGUUGGUAAUGACAGUCAAGUACUAUUGAGUACCUAACAUGCAUUAAAGGUAUCGUAAAUAAGACAUACUUAAGGUUGCUAGGCAUUUUGGGCUGCCGUAAUAGGUUGCUCUGGAGCGGACAAAAGCAUCUUGGCCAUGACAAACUGCAGUCGAAAGCAAUAUCAAAGAAAGAAAGAGGGUAUAACAAGCCAUAUUUCAGACAAUUCCAAUUCUUAAAGUAUUAAUACAAAAUUAUGAAUUAAUAGAGUGGACGAGGAAUGAAAUACCUUGAAUAAAAGGGCCAUAUUUAUAGCAGAGCAAUAACAGACUAUGUGAAUGAUUCAAUUCAACCUUUAUGAUUCCACUAAUGAAUAAUAAAUCCAAGUGCGGAGGCAGUCGGAUAGGUAAAACAGGAUACGUAUACAAAUUAAGCAAGGUCUCAACUUUUAAAUGGUAAGAGCAUCUUUAAACACAAUGUACUCUCUACCUUAACAAACUCUUUAAAUUGACGUCUUAAAAUAGAGAGUGAGUCGAACCCUUCUCUAUAAUUAAAUGCGUUCAAAGUAUUUCAAUUUUUAUUGAAGGAAAAUAAUAUAUAAUUUGAAGGGAAACUAGUGAAAAUAAAAUCUAAGAAAAACAAUAAAUAUUUUUUGGAAGUAGCAAAAUCAAUGUUAAAUAUAAAGAGUCUGUUGGAGUAUUUAAAAAUUCUUACUCUAUAAAUUUAUAAAUGUUCUCUAUAUUGUAUAUGUUCUUUAAAAAUAGAAAAUCUCUUAAAGGUGUUCAAAGAGUAUAAUGACUUGAGAAAUACUUUCAUUGAAGUUAAAAUUUUAAAUAGAACCCACCUCGAGACUUGUGUGGUAUCGGAGUCAACAAGCUCAAAGAACGAUUUUCGAUCCGUCUAGAGUUCAAAUGAGCAAGGCCGAUUUUAGGCCGAGGCCAAUGAGCCCCUUGCCUCAGGCCCAAAAAUUUAGGGGGCCUCAUUUUUUUUUUAUUUUUUUUUAAUAUAUACCUAAUCCCUAAUUUUUCCCUUCCGUUUGCCCGAUUGCUAGAGGUGAGAAGAGGCGAGAAAGAAACAACUAGAGAAAGGCAACCCACGUUACCCACGCCACUGCCUAGUACCUCCCUGCCUACUUGUAUGUAUUCCUUCUUAUUUUUUUGCAUUGAAUUAUUGAAUAGGGCAAUUAGAAUUUAGAUGGAGUGAAAAACCCACAGCCUCUUCAACUGAAACUUCCUCUUUAUUUUUCUUCUUUUAUAUUACAUUUAUUUUUUUAUUUCUAUUUAAUUUAAUCAUUAAUUAUUCUUAUAUUAAUGUUAACAUAUAAUUAAUUGCGCAUAUAAAUAAAUGAAUAUACACAAAACAUAAAUUUUCAUCUUCUUCGUUGUGGAACUUUGUCGAGAAUCUUGAGGGACAAUUAUUCCUAAUUACUGGAGCAUGAAGGUACUUAAAAUUAUAUAAUGUUUGUGAAAAUAAUGUAUUUAUGUUAUCACAAUAUUGUAUUUCAAUGUGAUUUCAUGUUUUUCUAAAACUUAAGCACAAAUUUUUUUUGUUUUUUAAUCAAUUAUUUAUUAUCUUCUUUUGGAUAGUUUUCUUCAUUCCAUCUUUUUGAGUAAAUUGAUGAAAAUUUGGGAUUUUUGGUAAUUUUUCUGCUUAAAGAUUUUAUGAGGUUUGUGGAGUAGGAAAAUUUAUUAUUUAUGUUUUAAUAAAUUGUUGAGUGUUGACUUGAUGAGUGAUGAUCCUUUUGAAACCUUUAACCAUUGCAACGGUAUUAUAUAAUGCCAAAUUUAAUUAUAGCAAUCACUCCAGUUACUUUAUUAUUAGUAAUAAUUAAGAUGGGGUUUCAAUUUUGGGUAUUGUGGUUUGUGGCCGUGGGUACUAGGUUGUUGAAUUAAAUUCCUAGAAUCUGUGCAUUGCAACGAGCUCUAUGAUUUGUAGGAAUCUUAGUUGUGAGUUCAUUCCUCUCCUUUUAUGCUGAUAGGUAAUUUUCAUGGAACAAUAAACUGUAUGAAAAUCCGGUGAACACGAGUUUGAAUGGAAGCAAAGGCCAAAGAGAGAUGUCUCCAAUAGAGCAUUAUUUAGGAAUUUGAACCAAUGAAAAUAUUGAAAAGAUGCUCACCUAGUCACCUAGCCACCUUGGCCAUGGUUUUCAUAACAGUUAAAUCUUUAUUUAUUAGUUCCAAUGCUUAAACAAUACCAAAACUCAAAUCUUACUGGCUUCUAGGAUCUACUUUUUGAGCAUUAGACUUUUUAAGCACCAAACUUUAUCUUCACAUAUAAUUUAAAUUUAUCGACAACAAUUAAUUGGGUGUUAUGAUUGUUGUUAAAUUUUGCUUUCAAGAUUGUGUUGUGACGGUGGAAUUCUCAAAGAGCCGCAUCGUGUCAUUUCAUAAUUUUUGCUCAAUGCCCUAAAUUUAAUUUUACUUAAAUUUGAUAAUGUGUAAAUUAAAGUAUCAUAAUUUUAUUUAAAUUUUAAUUUCAGGCUCAUGGACUGUGACAGUGAAAUUCUAAAGGGUGUGAUUUCACAAUUUUCGUUGAAAUUUCACUUCUCAGGUAAGUAAUGUUUGCCCUAACUUGUUAUUGAAGAGAAUGAAAAUGUUUGAAGCCUUGUCGGCUUAUAUAAUUGGUUAUUGUAGGAUGAACAAUUGCACAGGCGCACGUAGUAACUAAUUUACAUUUACAUUGAUUUCGCCGAGGGGCAUAAUAUACCGUAGAAUUUUACAUUUAGGUUGAUUUCGCCAGGGGCCAAAUUUACGAACUUCAUCUCAGGCCUUGACGAUCACAGGACCGGCUCUGCAAAUGAGCAAUCGGAUUUUACAAGAUGUAUUAAAGGUAUAAUGAUAUAAUGCAAGAGCAGCCUUAAUAGUGCCUUUCGAAAAAAUCUUGUCAUUCUAAAGUGUACGUUGAUAAUGUAGAGAAAUUGUGAGAUUAAGCUAGUGUCGAAAUAAAAAUUUGCUUGACGGCAGGCUGUCUAGAGCACCUACUUUAAAAAAUUUUAAAGAGGGAGGACUAAUAUAAAUUUAUCUUUUGAUGAAGAUAGAUUCUAAGAAGACGAUAAGUUUAUCAAGAAAAACGUCAUAGAAAUUAAGGGCUUGUGUCUUUUAAGCUAAUAUAAUGUUUUAUCGAUGUAAAAGUCGAAAUCGUUGAGUUAUGAAUAACUUGUUCAACCUUGUUUGUUGNNNNNNNNNNNNNNNNNNNNNNNNNNNNNNNNNNNNNNNNNNNNNNNNNNNNNNNNNNNNNNNNNNNNNNNNNNNNNNNNNNNNNNNNNNNNNNNNNNNNNNNNNNNNNNNNNNNNNNNNNNNNNNNNNNNNNNNNNNNNNNNNNNNNNNNNNNNNNNNNNNNNNNNNNNNNNNNNNNNNNNNNNNNNNNNNNNNNNNNNNNNNNNNNNNNNNNNNNNNNNNNNNNNNNNNNNNNNNNNNNNNNNNNNNNNNNNNNNNNNNNNNNNNNNNNNNNNNNNNNNNNNNNNNNNNNNNNNNNNNNNNNNNNNNNNNNNNNNNNNNNNNNNNNNNNNNNNNNNNNNNNNNNNNNNNNNNNNNNNNNNNNNNNNNNNNNNNNNNNNNNNNNNNNNNNNNNNNNNNNNNNNNNNNNNNNNNNNNNNNNNNNNNNNNNNNNNNNNNNNNNNNNNNNNNNNNNNNNNNNNNNNNNNNNNNNNNNNNNNNNNNNNNNNNNNNNNNNNNNNNNNNNNNNNNNNNNNNNNNNNNNNNNNNNNNNNNNNNNNNNNNNNNNNNNNNNNNNNNNNNNNNNNNNNNNNNNNNNNNNNNNNNNNNNNNNNNNNNNNNNNNNNNNNNNNNNNNNNNNNNNNNNNNNNNNNNNNNNNNNNNNNNNNNNNNNNNNNNNNNNNNNNNNNNNNNNNNNNNNNNNNNNNNNNNNNNNNNNNNUUUUCUCAAACAAACAAACACAAAAACUUUAAGGUAUUAACAAGUGGAAAGAUAUACAAAGUGAUGUUUGAUGAGGAGCACUAAACUUGGUGGAGCUAGGCCCCUUGAACCAAACCCUAAUUCAUUAUUCUUUAUUAUUUUUGUACUACAUUAAAAAAUUAUGUUCUGUACAAAAUUAAUCUAUUUGUUAGUUUCAUUUCCACGUACAAAGGCCUAUAUAGGUGGAUUAAACCAAGAGUUGCACUACAUGUACAGCAAAGAAUUUGCCAGACAACUUACAGCUCACACACAAUCCAUGGGGUGGGUGGGUAUAUUUUUUCAAUAUAAAACUCACAUGGAAUCCACCCCAUGUGAGUUUUCUGGAUUUAUUCUGUAGGGAAAAUUAUGUACAAACAGAUUUUUCCUUAAACCAGUAAUAUUGAGUGAACCAAUUUUCCUUCUAAUUUGUCGUUAGUGAAGUCCAAUCAUUCUGGCCAUUUGUCAAUUUUAUAUUGUGAAGAAAGUUUCUCAUUUUUUAUUUAUUUAUUUUUCUUUUUUGAUAAAGCACCAUCAUAGUCUCGAUGUCUUUUAAGGCUCUGCCAAGCAAAAAUUGAUUAUGGCCAUAUGUGAAGAUAGCAAUUUAUAUCAAAAUUGAUUAUGGUUUUCUUGUUAAUUGUAUGGCACACUACAUCAAGCAAAAAUUUAGAUGUAGAAUCUAUGAUAGAUUAAUUUUAUACUAUAAAAUCUUGUCCGGCAAAACUAUAAUAGUAAAUAUACGAACAUUAACUUUUAAAAAAAUGGUCUCAUGCAACGUAAAUUCCCAACUUCGCCUGGAAAGCAAGUAAUAUUGAAAUUGACAUAACAUUUGAUUUGGGCCCAUCUUUGUCAAUAGUUAUAAACAAGUAAAAAGAUGAAAUUCUAGUAAUUUUAUUCAUAUCAAUAUUAAACAUGAGGUACAAAUGAAGUAAAGAGAAUCCUUCACCAAACAUAAUCCAAAGCACUAGAAAUAAUUAACAAGUAGUCGAGCCUAUAGAUGUUACACAUUCGUGGUUGGAGCUUAAUUAGUUAAGCUAAAACCAGUGUCAUAAACAAUUCCAGACUUCCAAUCAUUAGGAAUGGCGCUAGCUAAUUGCACCCACUUCACUUCAGUGUUGCCCUCGACCACCACCGAAAGUCUGAAGUUGAGAGGGCCCAGUGGUGGGUUCUGAAGGUCGAAUAAUGUUCCAUAGACUCUUCAAAUUGGCCUCUAUUACUUGUAAUCCUCCUAACAACAUCAAUGACCAAGUUACCGUUUUAAAAAGUAAAAUUUUAUUUAAAAACCAUAUUUUGAUAAGUAAAAAAGAACAGUUUAUUUGACUUAAGAGUAUAUAUUAGCCAUACUUAAAUAGUGAUGAUAUCAUACAUUACCUCCUUGUACAAUGGAACUACGGCCAAGUACAGAGAGAGUCAAAUAGUACUCAACAGUAUUGACGGAAAAAAGAAGUAAAAUCUUGUUAACGAUAGAGUUUAGUACUAUUGAAUACCAAACGUGCAUUAUAUGGAUCCAUGCUCCUAUGCGUAUUUUGGAGAGACAUUUUCUGCCCCUUGAGGUAAAUCAUCAAUAGGUUGACUUGAAGUAUAAUUACUUGACAUAUCCACCUCAACUUUCCUUUCAAUUGGGCUAGCCUUUUUCCUUUGCCUUAGAGGGUAAGCCCUCUGUCUAUGUCCCUCCUCAUCUUGUUGAAAAAUAUUUUGCUGAGGCAUUUGAUGCUAGCCUGUCCCUACAUUAGCUUAAGUAAUUAUUGCACGUCAGUAUUUUGUUAGGCAGUAUUUCUCAUGUUGGCAGCCAUUUCUUCAAGAUUUCUUGCAAGGCAUGCAGUAAUGCCACCUCCUUAACGGUGUUGGUGGUGGGAUCUACAAAUAUUUUCAUUGGUUCGAACGACUUCUUCUUCAUGGUAUACUAACGAUUUGUGUAUCAACACUUCAAAUAGCACUGUCACUUGUCCUUUCUUCAAGAACAGAUACCUUUCUUCAAGGGUGGAGUUUGACACACUAGUGUGUUUCCCACAAACGAUGUCAAUCUUUGACCUCAAAUUUUGUACCUCCAACAUAGUCAACAGAUAUCAAGGCUUCCCAUGUCCAAGUAAGUCUGAUUUCUGCGCACUUCGACAAACCAUUAAUCAUACGUUGCCUUCUCCCCUGGUAGUGAAGUUGGCCAUGCGCACUCCAACGGCCAAGCAAUUGAAGUAGUGUAUAUGGGUAUAGAAGGUGCUUUAGACACGAGUCUCUAAUAUAAAAAGGGGGUCAAUUUUGGAAAAAAUUGUGAUAAUAACAAUAAAUAUAGCAAAUUGUGAUUGAGAGUUUAAACUUGCAUCACCUUUGGAAUGACACAUUGUGUGAGCUUUUAUAGCAAAAUAUGAUGGAUAUCGGCCAUAGGAUUAAAGUGUACAUGGCCUCAUCCAUACGACUAAAGCUUCUCGUCAAAAGCAUCAAUCAAUCAUAGGCAUUUAAUGCUAAUACUAUUUUGUUGCCCAUCAAUAAGCUUAAACUUGACUUCAUUGGCUAGAUAUAGUGGCAAUAGCAGUGACUUGUCACAUCAAUCACGUACUAGGGAUUGCAUAGAAGAUCUCUUACUACGCCCCCUUGAAGCCUCGCCCUCAUGAGGUUUUGAUUCUUCAUAUGGGCUUAACUCAGUCAAAUGGGCUCGAUAUCCCAUAUAGGUUUGGCCGCUUCACGGGGUUUGACCAAACUGUCUGUUAGGUAGAGUGACAUGAAUGCGGGUCCAAGUUCGCUUCCAUGUAGGAGGCGAGGCGUAACACCUACGUUAAAUUAUUUGAAAAAAGGAAAGGUUAAUAUAAAAACAUAAUAUCGGUAAGUUAAAUUUAUCUUUUAACCUACUCGCUAAAACUUAGAAUAAUUACGUUACUAGCUAGUGACAGUUUUAAAAAGGAACAGUGGGGUCACUAUGAUUUUAAAAUUUUAAUUUUGUGUAAGGAAAGACUUAUAUUUUGUAAAUUUGGCUCCACAUACCAUAUAAAAUAUAGCUUCAAAAUAAUAUUAAAACUACAUGUCUAGUGCAGUGGUAAAACCAUCAACUUUUCGAAUUCCAUGUGCCACAUUAUAUUUCUUUUGAGAAAUCUGUGCAAUUAGUCCUCACUUUUUAGGCUUUAGCAUCUCUAGGAGGCAACAAACAGAAGGUAGGAGUAAACACGAUUUGAUUUUGAUGGUUUUCAACUAUUUUAAAAUCAAAUCGUUUUAUUUUUCUAACUAAACUUGCUAAUGCUAGCAGGGCAUAAUGCUAUGUUCAUUACAAGUGUCACAUUAUUUUCAUUACCAUUUUAUUAUCGGUAGCUAUUACCUGAUUUAGACCAAUAAUAAUGUUAUUCUAAUGUAUGCAAGCUUAUUAUUUGUCAUGAUAUAUGAUCAUAUAGCUUGAUGGGCUCUCCACAUAUUACAGUUUAAAAAAGUUUGAUCUGUUAUUAUUUCACUUUUCGUCAUGAGAAUUUGAAGAGGUAGACGGGGCCCUAUUUAUUUUGUAUAUGUGCAGUGAAGAUAUUGUGUUGUAUUUCAGGUUGGUUUAGUCCACAUUACAAAUAGAUGUUGUCGAAAUUUUGUUGCAUCUUGGAAUGUAUUCAAGGUAAUUUAUAAGCCCUCAUCAAUUUGAAGUCGACUAUAUUUCUAAGACCAUUCGUAAGCUCAUACUUGUUAGGGAUGGGCUCGUAUAUUAGAGGCAAUUCGUAAAUCCUCACUUAUUUGGGAUCUACUCAAAUUCAUAAGGCAAUUGGUAAGUCAUCGUCUAAUUGAAGAUAACUCGCAUUUUUGUCCCACACCUAAAUGUACACCUCAGAUAUGGUAAACUAUUGGCAUAUCAAUAAAUUACAUGGCAUGCACGUGAUAAAGAGAGGUUAACAUUAGUUGACUAGGCCUCAACAAUGUUAAUUGGAUACAACCGAGUAAACCUAAGUAACCUCUUCUUGGGCUUGAGCCCGAUCCCUAACCCAUUUGGCCCUCUCUCUCUCCUCUCUCUCUGUGUGCGCGCAUCUGGACUUGAAGGCAUGUUCAUCUAAACAUUUGCCAAAUCCCAUCUUACACAUUUCUCUUGCACUCAUUCCAUGACCUGUUUUGAUAGUUGAUUUGACCUUCGAAUUGAAAUGGUUGUCAAGUUUUUUUUUAGGAUGGCUCCUUUACACCUUAAUGGUUCUUUUCCAAUGUGCAUGUAAUGCCUAUAUGGAAAAGGAUAUGGCCUGAAUUCUAUUAUCAGGCCAAAUUUUGAGGUCAGCAAAAUCAAACCAAAUCAUAUUUUGUGGUUUGAUUUGGUUUCAAAUCAUUGAUUUAGCGACACAAAAAUAAUAGCUUUCAAACAAGUGAAAAAAUUAAUAUAUUAAUUUCAAAUUUCACUAAAACACUUGCAUUGAAACCUUUCAAACAUAAAUGUUGGCAUCAACAAAUCCUGCCUCUACUUUUCUCCAAGCGUAUGUUACAUGGGCACUUGGAGCGCAUGCAGACAUGCAAGAAUACUCUCAAAACACAAAGGGAUAUGAGAGGUCACGAUCAUACGUACUUUGAUGCUCAAGUCAGUCAGAAUAAUGAGAUUAAAGUGUAUUGGGUAUGGAAACGACAUGUGGAGGAGAGAAUAUAAUUUAGAUUCGGAUUCGUAUUUUGUGAGAGGGAAGUUUGAAUAUUUAUAAAUGAGAGAAAUGAAUGAAGGCUUCCUGGAUGCUUGACGCAUGACUUCAUCCAAUAGCUUAUUGGUCAAGUUCUAUCACGUCACAAUGUCAUGUCCUAGGCACCAAUAGGUCUAUGACCCCGUAUGCUAUCUUACGUGGGUAAAAGUAAGUUUGCACUAAAUCACCAUUUUAAUUAUUUCUCACAUGACUCCAGAAGUAGAAUCACCAUUUACAUAAAGUUUGACCAUUGCCCUCCAUCGCUUCAGCGAUGAAGACCCAUGUUAUGUCAUAAGCAUUAUGAAUCCAAAGAUCACAUUGCAUUUAAUAAAUUGCAAAUUUCGAUUAUUCAUUUCUUGGAUUAUUCAAAUUCUCUUUGAAUUUAUUGGCAAUUGACAUCUAUAAAAAUAUAUGUUAAUUGAAAAUGUGGGGAAAAAAUAAAUAUAUUUUGAAAAAGUAAAAUAAAGAGCUUGUUUGAGUGUAUCGAAAGUCUUACUGUUGAAAUUUCAAAAUAUUUUCUAUUAUAUACGAGAUGCUUCUAUAAUUAAAUAAAAAAGACUAUUGAAGAGGUUCUUACAUGCAACAAACUUGACUCUUAAAACACAUUAAUAAACCGGGAUCAAUGUCCCAUAAACUUAACUAAAAAAUAUUAAGCCCCUGUUUGUUUCCCAUUAUUUACCCAUUAAAAUAAAAAAAUAUGAUAGUUAUCCAUCACAUCAAACCACCAUAUUUGAUGUUCCAUCUCUUGUGUAGGGCCCAUACGGCUAUAUUUUUCCUUCUCAUUUUUACAUUAAUGUGUAUCAAACGGGGCCUAAGUUUGUACCAGGGUAGCAUAAAUAACUAAAUAUUACAGAAAUUUUAUUUAUAUCACAACUGAACACAAGUCCCACUUAUUUAUUUUUAACUUGUUACACACACACACACACAUACAUACUUUACAUAUAUAUCUCACAAAGCUCUAGGGACAGGGCAGUGAGGGCCCUCAAGGUUGGGGUUCAACCUUUUUUUAUACUAUACAUAUAUAUAGGUAAAAAGUAGGUGGAAGGUGUAGUUUGGAGCUUAAUUAAGUUGAGAUGCAGUGUCAUAUGCAACUCCAGCCUUCCAAUCCGUAGGAAUGGCACGGGUUAAUUGUACCAAAUUAACUUCAUACGGGAUGGCAUAGUUAAUUCUAACGUGAAGAGAUCCGAUGGGUGGAUUUGAAAUGUCAAAUACCGUUCCAUACGCCCUACGCAUUGGACUCCAUUCGUCGCUAUCCUCCUUUGUUCAUUAUCAGAAACAAGUACAAUGUCAGUGAUCAUUGAUAAGAAUAUUUAGUUGUGCUUAAAAAUUACUUUUUUAGAAAUUACGUCUUCUGCUAGUCAAACAAGUAAUUUUGGAAACGUGUUUGACAAAAUAAGUAACUUAAAGGUAAGCCCCUAAUAGGUUUAGAUGAAAAUCAGAUUAUUAGUAGAUUUUUGAUACAAAUUGAUGCAAUAUGUAGUUAAAAAGUUUUAGGUUCCAUGAAAUAUGUGGUUAAAAUUAAUUGUUUUUUUUUACUAUUGUUUUAAUCUAAUUUUUCAGUUGAAUCAAGCAGGGACUAAGUCUGACCUACUUUUUAAUCUUUAAAUAACUUAUGGUACUUUAGUACUAAUGAAAUUCUGUAUGCUUACUUUUUAGCUUGUAAUAU
This 30895-nucleotide long non-coding RNA is filed under the name Olea europaea (common olive). RNAcentral describes it as "long non-coding RNA (OEUR_LNC012062)". Lineage: Eukaryota; Viridiplantae; Streptophyta; Magnoliopsida; Lamiales; Oleaceae. The record is from RNAcentral.